UACGUAGGGGGCAAGCGUUGUCCGGAUUUAUUGGGCGUAAAGAGCGUGUAGGCGGCCUGAAAGGUCAGCUGUGAAAACUCGAGGCUCAACCUCGAGACGUCGGUUGAAACCAUCUGGCUAGAGUCCGGAAGAGGAGAGUGGAAUUCCCGGUGUAGCGGUGAAAUGCGCAGAUAUCGGGAAGAACACGCGUGGCGAAGGCGGCUCUCUGGGACGGUACUGACGCUGAGACGCGAAAGCGUGGGGAGCGAACAGG
RNAcentral lists this ribosomal RNA (253 nucleotides) under uncultured bacterium. RNAcentral's name for it is "partial 16S ribosomal RNA". It matches the Rfam family "Bacterial small subunit ribosomal RNA", at positions 524 to 776 of the family's 1533-position model. The record is from RNAcentral.